GGGCUCACUUCAGCAGCAGACAUACUAAAAUUGGAAUGAUACAGAUAAGAUUACCAUGGGUCUUGGGCAAGGAUGACACACAAAUCCGUGAAGCACUCGAUAUUUUU
Small nuclear RNA from Tupaia belangeri (northern tree shrew), 107 nucleotides. Lineage: Eukaryota; Metazoa; Chordata; Mammalia; Scandentia; Tupaiidae. The record is from Ensembl.